RNAcentral lists this ribosomal RNA (450 nucleotides) under uncultured Gigaspora. Its description in RNAcentral is "SSU rRNA". It matches the Rfam family "Eukaryotic small subunit ribosomal RNA", at positions 569 to 1024 of the family's 1831-position model. Lineage: Eukaryota; Fungi; Glomeromycota; Glomeromycetes; Diversisporales; Gigasporaceae. The record is from RNAcentral.
AGCGGCCGCGGUAAUUCCAGCUCCAAUAGCGUAUAUUAAAGUUGUUGCAGUUAAAAAGCUCGUAGUUGAAUUUCGGGGUUCUACCGUCGGUCGGGCUACCAAGUCUGUACUGGUGUGUAGAACUUCUACCUUCUGGGGAACCGUCAUGUUAUUAAUUUAGCGUGGUGGGAAACCAGGACCUUUACCUUGAAAAAAUUAGAGUGUUCAAAGCAGGCUUACGUCUGAAUACAUUAGCAUGGAAUAAUAGAAUAGGACGGUGGUCCUGUUUUGUUGGUUUCUGAAUCACCGUAAUGAUUAAUAGGGAUAGUUGGGGGCAUUAGUAUUCAAUUGUCAGAGGUGAAAUUCUUGGGUUUAUUGAAGACUAACUUCUGCGAAAGCAUUUGCCAAGGAUGUUUUCAUUAAUCAAGAACGAAAGUUAGGGGAUCGAAGACGAUCAGAUACCGUCGUAGU